Molecule: long non-coding RNA, 4372 nt
Filed under: Sus scrofa (pig)
Lineage: Eukaryota; Metazoa; Chordata; Mammalia; Artiodactyla; Suidae
Description: lncRNA (ENSSSCG00055026908.1)
Source: RNAcentral
CAUAACACAUCAUAACCUGCAAGUACCUUUGCGUGCUUGUAAAGCUGCCUGUUUCUUCCGCUAGUCUGUAAAUUCCAUGAAGGCAGAAUUAGUGUCAGUGUUAUCCCUGUAAAAACCCCGCAGGAUGGAUGGAAGGAGAGGAGGGGAGAGGAGGGAAAGGAAGGGAAGAAGCGAGAAGUAGUGAGAGAAGGAAGGGAAAGAGAGAAGGAAAGGAAAGAAAUAAUUUAAAAGUCUUUGUAACUAUUAUCUGAUCAAAUCUCAUAGUAACCCUAAGUGAUCUGUUAACAUGAAGUGAAAAUUAUUACGUAUGACACAGACAGCCACUAAAGCGAGCCGUAACUGAAUCUUCCAAUUAUCUGUGUGUAAAUACAGAGCUAUGCUUCUCUAAGUGGACAGCUUAAGAAUUGUGACAAACGCCCAGUAUUUCUUCCCUAUUUAUUCAUUCAGUAUGUCUCAGAAAUACAAAGCCUGAUUUUAACUCUGGCUAUGCUUACGUGAAGGAAGAACGAGUUCUCAAGAAAUUCUCCUCAUUUUUACCACUCACACAGAGAUGGAGCUUCUGGUAAAGCACACCUCUCGAUGAGGAGCUCGUGACCAAUCACAAGCAGAGAUGCUGGGGGCAGAGGACAACAUCAGAUGUGACAGCCAGGAAGGCAGACUGUGGCACGAAGAGGAUGCUCAGGAAGCCUCCUAUCGCCAGGCUCUGGGGCGGGGGGCAGGGGAGCAUCCAGGGUGUCCUUCCCCAUGGGACAUGGCCUCUGACGCUGUGAUGGACUGAGGAGGACUCGCCCAACUCACACAGCCCGUGACCCACAGAGCUGAGAUGCAGCCCCAGGUCUUAAAGGCUCAGGCUCUGAACAGACAGGGGCUGCAGGAAGUGGCGACAAAAUCACGUGCACCGCAGCGAAAGUGUGAACAGACAAGUCCAACUUGAUAUCGCACGCAGUCUUGAAGCAUCUUGGGGAGGAAGAGCCACCAACAGGAAACUUAACCAGCUGAGCUGAGCGCAGCCCCUCAUCGGCUCCGUUUUUUGCCACAACUGCCUAAAGCCCUUCUGUCAGCGCAGAGGUGAACAUCAGCUCCUACCAUCCCAGGCUGCCAGGGGAAUUGUGAGAAUUAAGGCAAUAACGCAUGCCCUGUGCACCUUAACGCUGAGGGUUCCAGGUGAAAGCUGCAUUCAAACCCCGCUCUCAUCUGAACACAAUCAGACCCAUCUUGGAAAUUCAGCUUUCAUUUUGCUGAACACUUCCUCUCAGUGUUUCUCUAUCAGCUUAUCACAAUGUAUCCCUGGCUGAGGGUCUACAGCACGUCUGGCCUUCUUCUGAUGACGAAAGGAAGAAACCACUCCCUGCGUUCUCUGCACUCAAGUAGUUUACAAUUCACGAUUCCUUCUCCCUUUCUCUUGGAUGCCUACAGCUUUUUCUUGAUGGAUGAGGCCUUCCUAUGGCACGUUCACAACCACAGGAAGGUAACUGCAGGGCACCUGUCACACAGCCAAGAAAGGCAGAGAGAAAAUAAAAAUCUGAAAGAAAGAAAGAAGGAAGGAAGGAAGGAAGGAAGGAAGGAAAGGCAGAGAGCAGUCGUUUCAUCUGCAAGAGUAUUUUCAGGUCCAGCUUUGGCCUUGUGGCCACAGCAGGGCUCCUGACCCCUUCAGCCAGCCUCAGUAGGAGAUGGAAUCAAGGCCAACAAGCUAUGGUCUAAUCCUAGUGCCAAUGUGAGUUUGUCAAAGGCUCUGAAGGCAAAUCGUGUUUUCCCUGCCUGGGGCUUGGUUUCCAUGCUUUAAAAAGGAUUCUUAGUAUUUACUGCAGUAAAAUUAAGCACUUUCAAAUAUCUGGCAGAUCUGCAUAAAUACCGUUUAUUAACACAAAGCAAGUGUGAGGCUUGAAAGGCAGGAGGCCCAAAUCUUAGUCCCUGGCCCACUGCUGACUCACUGGGUGGCUGCAGGCAAGGAACUUAAAUCAAGUGCAUCAUUUUAAUUUUCUUCUUUUUAGGGCUGCACCCUCAGCAUAUGGAGAUUCCCAGUCUAGGGUUCAAAUCCGAGCUACAGCUACUUGCCUACUCCGCCACCACAGCAACGUGAGAUCUGAGCCUUGUCUGUGACCUACCCCACAGUUCACUGUAAUGCCGGAUCCUUAACCCACUGAGCGAGACCAGGGAUCGAACCUGCAUCCUCAUGGAUCCUAGUCGGGUUCGUUACCACUGAGCCACCACAGGGACUCCCUAAGUGCAUCAUUUUAAAUGGGCACAGAGUGGAGACUUGGUAGGUGGGCAGUGCCCUGUGAGGUCUGAGGCCAGCCCAGUGGUGAAACUAAGUCAGUGUAGACAAGGCCCUUUGCCAGGGUCCUUUGCCUUGAGUGCCGUUUUGUAGCUGGUUCAUGGUGCCCACGCUGAAAUGUGACCCUAAAAUUUUUGAAAGCUUGAAGCUGAAGGAACCAGGCAAAACUUGUCACUGAAAAGCGGGGUGGCCCCACAUAUUAGCUAAGAGCACAGCUUUUAGGAGCCAACUCUGUGGAUGAGAAUCCUGAGUCUACCAUUGCUGAACUUUACUCUUCCCACCUAUAAAAUAUGAAAAAAGACUAUCUACCUGCCACAGGUUGUUGUGAAGACAGAUGCGCUAAUUCAUGUAAAGUAAGCACUAGGUGAAUAUUAGCUAUUAGCAAACAGUUAACAAGGCAUUAAAAUCAAAUAUAGUACGUAUAUAUAUUUUUCAGUUCCCAAAGCAAAUUUAUAUAGGGAGUUUCACUUGGACCAGACGGAACACCAAGAGAGAGGUAGUAAUAGAGGCAAUGUCCCCUACUUUCUUUGAGGCUCAGUCUCAUUUAUUCUUUUAUAAGCCACACUUCAGGAAAGUGACCGGGCAAGUAGAUUGAUCAGAAACAAAAAGAAGGAUAGAACUUCAAGAAAUUAAUCUCAAUUGAUGGGUUAAAUGCUACUCUAGGAACAGCUGGAGAAAUAACACCAUCCAAGUGCUGGUAUCUCCGCCUGGGGCCUCUCCCCUGAAUUACACUUUUGAACAUUCAGCUGCUGAGCCAACAUCAUCCCUGGAAUCACAACAGGCAUCUCAAAGUCAAUGUGUCUAAAACAGAACUCCUUGUUUUUCUCCCUUCCUAUACAUUUUCUCAGGUGGACAGUCCAAGGCCACAAAGGAUAGGGAUGUCUCCCUGCCCCGCCUGGGCCCAGGCCUCUUGAAGCUGAGGCUUGUCCAGGAGAAGCUCAGAGCUGCACCUGUUGAAGGCCCAUGACUUUGGAGUUACUCAUCUCUCCUCCAUCAGUACCGACAGUGGUAGUUUGUUGUAGACAGACUUAAGAUAUGCUUUGUUCUUUCUAGAGCAUCUAAGUUGCAAUUCUUAAAAUGAACAUGGUAUUAGAAUCUAUUUUAAUUUUUUUUUUUGUUUUUUUUUUAGGGCCACACCCGCACCAUAUGGAAGUGCCCAGGGUGGGGUCAGUUGGAGCUACAGCUUCCAGCCUACACCAUAGCCACAGCAACAUGGGAUCCAGGCCGCAUCUGUGAUCUAUACCACAGCUCAGAGCAACACCAAAUCCUUAACUCACUGGGUAAGGACAAGGAUCGAACCCACAACCUCAUGGAUUCUAGUCGGAUUUGUUUCUGCUGUGUCGUAACAGGAACGCCCCAGAAUCUAUUUUAGAAGGAAGCAACCAAGAUCAAAGCAGCACUAGGCAUGAUGUGCCUUGUUUAUUUACCUGUUGGAACAGGCAAGGAAACAAAAAGGGACCUGUGCAUUUCUCGUGCUUUUCAAACAGGAGCUGGAUCUCUUGAAAUGGCCAAGGAGGAGAAGACAGUUUGAUUUAGAUUUGGCAUGGGUUUAGGGGAAGAUAUGCCUUUGUAGCUGGCCUUAAAUAUUAUGGCAACAUGGACUGAGUUAGUCUCCAAGGGAGAAGUUGCCACAUGUUGUAACAGAAGCCACUGGGCUUGGCAAGGAAGGGAAUGAAAGAACGACAAUGAAAGCAACGCCAUUUUCCCACCAUGGCAAAGAUGGGCUGACUGGGACCACGCCUGUCCCUCUUUUCCAGGGAAGACCAAACCGGGCACUGCCCUUUCAAAUCAGUCUUCACCAUAUUCUAAACAAUACUGAAUUCUGAAAUUAAUUUUAAUUCCUAAUGGCUUCUUAAGGAGACCUUUUUCUUCCUCCUUACUAAAAACAUAAACAAUUCAAAAAAGAGAUUCAAAAAGAGGAACUGCACCCCCCCAAAUUCUGAGUCUGAGAAGGCUGAGAGGGUGCACUUUUCAAAUGUAUUUAUUAAUUUUAGAGCUCCAGCAAGCUGUUUUGAUGCAUGCUCCAUCUCUUACCAUUUAAAUUUUUAAAACAUUAGAUUCUUACCUAUAUCUAUCUUGCUAUUUUGACUGGUCAUU